RNAcentral lists this ribosomal RNA (184 nucleotides) under Apilactobacillus timberlakei. RNAcentral's name for it is "Lactobacillus timberlakei partial 16S ribosomal RNA". It matches the Rfam family "Bacterial small subunit ribosomal RNA", at positions 1357 to 1533 of the family's 1533-position model. Lineage: Bacteria; Bacillati; Bacillota; Bacilli; Lactobacillales; Lactobacillaceae. The record is from RNAcentral.
CCACGGUGAAUACGUUCCCGGGCCUUGUACACACCGCCCGUCACACCAUGAGAGUUUGUAACACCCAAAGACGAUGGAGUAACCUUCGGGAGCUAGUUGUCUAAGGUGGGACAGAUGAUUAGGGUGAAGUCGUAACAAGGUAGCCGUAGGAGAACCUGCGGCUGGAUCACCUCCUUUCUAAGGA